AUACUGUCAGUGUAAGCUGCUUCACAUGGAGAUAUUUCUGGUGGGAGCAUAACAGUAUUUGCAUGAAGACUGAACAGGGGUUAGUUCUACCUAACCUUAGGUGCCCAAGGUGCAUCACAUAGAAGCCCAGUCAUAUCCAGAGGACAAUCAGAUCUCAGGUUCUUAUAUCAUCAUUAUGAAUAAUUCUUAUUUCAGAGAAAAAGGGAAAAGGUAAAGUAGGAGACUGUAGUAAGCACUGAGCAGAGCAAAAAUAAACAACACCAGUAAACAGAAGAGAAGCUGAUGUUGGGUGCUGCUGUUCUCCUGCCCAGUUCACCUAAAAAGCAUUUUCUUUCCUUAAGUCUUAGAAAAGAAACUGAAAGUCUGAUACAAGUGAAGGAAUCUGAAAAUGAUGCGUACCAAGAAACUGUGUUAAAAAUUCUUUCUUUAUUUGGCCAAAAGUCAUUUUGGUUAUUCAUUUUUCUUUUUCUCCAGCUUCCUAG
RNAcentral lists this long non-coding RNA (482 nucleotides) under Coturnix japonica (Japanese quail). RNAcentral describes it as "lncRNA (ENSCJPG00005002539.1)". Lineage: Eukaryota; Metazoa; Chordata; Aves; Galliformes; Phasianidae. The record is from RNAcentral.